UACGUAGGGGGCGAGCGUUGUCCGGAUUCAUUGGGCGUAAAGCGCGCGUAGGCGGCCCCGCAAGUCGGCCGUGAAAUCUCCGGGCUCAACUCGGAGGGGUCGGGCGAGACUGCGGGGCUCGAGGUGGGCAGAGGGCAGUGGAAUUCCGGGUGUAGUGGUGGAAUGCGUAGAGAUCCGGAGGAACACCAGUGGCGAAGGCGGCUGCCUGGGCCUGGCCUGACGCUGAGGCGCGAAAGCAUGGGGAGCGAACAGG
This 253-nucleotide ribosomal RNA is filed under the name uncultured bacterium. RNAcentral's name for it is "partial 16S ribosomal RNA". It matches the Rfam family "Bacterial small subunit ribosomal RNA", at positions 524 to 776 of the family's 1533-position model. The record is from RNAcentral.